GGGCCCGUAGCUCAAUUGGCAGAGCAUCUGGCUGGCAGUCAGGAGGUUAGGAGUUCAAGUCUCCUCGGGUCCAC
RNAcentral lists this transfer RNA (74 nucleotides) under Parcubacteria group bacterium ADurb.Bin247. RNAcentral's name for it is "tRNA-Ala". It matches the Rfam family "tRNA". From Rfam's summary of the family: Transfer RNA (tRNA) molecules are approximately 80 nucleotides in length. Their secondary structure includes four short double-helical elements and three loops (D, anti-codon, and T loops). The record is from RNAcentral.